AAGAAUUUGGAUUCUUUGUGAUUGCAAGUUUUCCAUCAUAUGUGCUCUUCAGAACGUCUGGUUUCCUCAGUAUUCGAGGUCCUACCGGAACAUUUCGAGUCUUUGGCCGAAUAUCCUGCGUGAACAUAAAGAAAUCAUUUCAUGUUCCUUCCUUCCUUAGUUAUUCGCUAUCAAGAACAGAGCAAACUCUGGCUUCUCUAAAAAAGUUUUUUUUUUUUAAAUGUCAAACCUGAUCAAAGAUGGCAGUGGGUAUUGCAAGUGUAGCAACUGCAUUUGGAGAAUCGACUAUCCCAGAUAUUCUCCCUUCGCAUGGGAAACAUGAGAGUAAGAGAGACCAGUACCUGUUCUUUUGAGUAGCCGAAUUUGAAGAGAUAGUCUAUGGCGUUGAGAACUGCUCGUUUGUAAGCAACUGUUGCGUCUAAGUAGUGUUGUCUCCCACUCUCAUCGACACUGAUACCCUCAAAGACCAGCCACUCUGAGAAUCUCGGUUCCACUGGACCUAUCUCAAAGAUCGGGUUUACAUGGAGAGGGGUUGGUCCCAUUGGUGUAAGGAAGAAGUGCAGUGAGGAACUUAUGUACAUACUUGAGUUCUAGAAAUCCACUCAUCUCGAUGGCACCGCAGAAGGAGAUCUCACCAUCACCUUGCGAGAAAUGCAUAUCACCAGUGCUUAAAUUUGCCCCUUCUACAAACACUGGAAGGUAUAUUUUAGAGCCUCUGCUUAGGUUCUUUAUGUCACAGUUUCCUCCGUUUUCUCUUCCUGGGAUUGUCCUCGCAGCCUCCUUCGCAACCCUUUCCCAUUCCACUGUUCCCUCUUCAAUCUACAAAAGGAUUAUGUAAGAAUCCCCAAGAGUUCAAGGAGUUCUUUUGUUGGAGCUGUGCCAAUUAUUCCUGGGUGUGUCAAACCCGGAAACCGUACUCCUACCGUGCCGUGAUGCGAUUUAUAUUAGCAUGUCAAUAAUCAGUACAACAUCUCAUAACAAGGGCAGCUACAUGGUUAUGUUCUUACCUGGAAUUUGAGGAGAGUAAGCAUAAAUGCCUUCAAAGUACCAAAUAGCUUUGGUCGCACAAGGGAAAUGGUCAGUCAAGAAACCGCCACCAUUCUCUCUAUCAAAUGAACCAGUGAAUCCCCAUUCAUCUCCUGGAAGAGGACCCAAAUUGCAUAUCUCAACAACAAGAAGAUCACCUGGCUUGGCUGCAACACCAUCCUCAUCCACAACUUUGAUCGGCCCACUCAGUAGAGAGGUCUAUGCUCUUAAUAUCAUCAGCAGAACCAUCGUCUUUGACUGCACCUCCGGUCCAGUCAACCAUUUCCACCCUAAACAACUCACCAACCUUGACCUCUGCAACUGGUUGGAUCUCAGGAUGCCAUCUAUUAUGCAGAGGCUGAUUCUGCUGCCAUGGCUUCUUCUUCAAAUCCACCUUCACCACCACACGUGGACUUGCUGGAGCCAUCAAACCGAACUCAAUGACAAGAAGUUGAAAAUAAUAUUACAUUGACUUAUGUUAUGGAGAGGAUCUCUGUUAUGUACAUAUAGGAGGAGCUCAUGACGGGGAAUCUUACAUUCGAGUUAUUAAUUCUAAUUCAAUGUAAGCUAUUUUGAUACAAAAUUUAAUGCAUUCACCCAGAAAAUAGUGCAUAUAAAGAUUAAGGACGCAAUUCAUUACCCUCCGGUUUCGUGAUUUGGAAUUUCCG
Molecule: long non-coding RNA, 1694 nt
Organism: Eutrema salsugineum
Lineage: Eukaryota; Viridiplantae; Streptophyta; Magnoliopsida; Brassicales; Brassicaceae
Exons: 6
Source: RefSeq, a predicted model, not a curated record